This 621-nucleotide ribosomal RNA is filed under the name uncultured Actinomycetes bacterium. RNAcentral's name for it is "bacterial SSU rRNA". It matches the Rfam family "Bacterial small subunit ribosomal RNA", at positions 556 to 1174 of the family's 1533-position model. Lineage: Bacteria; Bacillati; Actinomycetota; Actinomycetes. The record is from RNAcentral.
GGGCGUAAAGGGCUCGUAGGUGGUUGAUCGCGUCGGAAGUGUAAUCUUGGGGCUUAACCCUGAGCGUGCUUUCGGUACGGGUUGACUUGAGGAAGGUAGGGGAGAAUGGAAUUCCUGGUGGAGCGGUGGAAUGCGCAGAUAUCAGGAGGAACACCAGUGGCGAAGGCGGUUCUCUGGGCCUUUCCUGACGCUGAGGAGCGAAAGCGUGGGGAGCGAACAGGCUUAGAUACCCUGGUAGUCCACGCUGUAAACGGUGGGUACUAGGUGUGGGGUCCAUUCCACGGGUUCCGUGCCGUAGCUAACGCUUUAAGUACCCCGCCUGGGGAGUACGGCCGCAAGGCUAAAACUCAAAGGAAUUGACGGGGCCCCGCACAAGCGGCGGAGCAUGCGGAUUAAUUCGAUGCAACGCGUAGAACCUUACCUGGGUUUGACAUGGAUCGGGAGCGCCCAGAGAUGGGUGUGCCUCUUUUGGGGUCGGUUCACAGGUGGUGCAUGGCUGUCGUCAGCUCGUGUCGUGAGAUGUUGGUUAAGUCCCGCAACGAGCGCAACCCUUGUUCACUGUUGCCAGCACGUUAUGGUGGGGACUCAGUGGAGACCGCCGGGGUCAACUCGGAGGAAGGU